RNAcentral lists this ribosomal RNA (461 nucleotides) under uncultured bacterium. RNAcentral's name for it is "partial 16S ribosomal RNA". It matches the Rfam family "Bacterial small subunit ribosomal RNA", at positions 338 to 795 of the family's 1533-position model. The record is from RNAcentral.
CCUACGGGUGGCAGCAGUGAGGAAUAUUGGUCAAUGGCCGGAAGGCUGAACCAGCCAUGCCGCGUGAAGGUCAGUGCCCUAUGGGCGUUAAACUUCUUUUGUGCGGGAGCAAUAAUGGUCACGUGUGGCCAGACGAGAGUACCGUACGAAUAAGCAUCGGCUAACUCCGGGCCAGCAGCCGCGGUAAUACGGGGAAGGCAGGCGUUAUCCGGAUUUUUUGGGUUUAAAGAGUGGCGUAGGUGGCAUAAUAAGUAGCUAGUGAAAUCGGGUGGCUCAAACAUUCAGACUAUUAGCUAAACUGUUAAGCUCGAGACCGUUAGGGGUAACUGGAAUUUCUAGUGUAGGAGUGAAAUCCGUAGAUAUUAGAAGGAACACCGAUAGCGUAGGCAGGUUGCUGGGACGGUUCUGACACUAAGGCACGAAAGCGUAGGGAGCGAACGGGAUUAGAUACCCGUGUAGUC